UUGGAGGGCAAGUCUGGUGCCAGCAGCCGCGGUAAUUCCAGCUCCAAUAGCGUAUAUUAAAGUUGUUGCAGUUAAAAAGCUCGUAGUUGAAUUUCGGGGUUCUACCGUUGGUCGGGCUAACCAGUCUGUACUAGCGUGUAGAAUUCCUACCUUCUGGGGAACCAUCAUGUUAUUAAUUUAGCGUGGUGGGAAACCAGGACCUUUACCUUGAAAAAAUUAGAGUGUUCAAAGCAGGCUUACGUCUGAAUACAUUAGCAUGGAAUAAUAAAAUAGGACGGUGGUCCUGUUUUGG
Molecule: ribosomal RNA, 292 nt
Filed under: uncultured Scutellospora
Lineage: Eukaryota; Fungi; Glomeromycota; Glomeromycetes; Diversisporales; Gigasporaceae
Description: partial 18S ribosomal RNA
Rfam family: Eukaryotic small subunit ribosomal RNA
Source: RNAcentral